RNAcentral lists this ribosomal RNA (491 nucleotides) under uncultured bacterium. RNAcentral describes it as "partial 16S ribosomal RNA". It matches the Rfam family "Bacterial small subunit ribosomal RNA", at positions 28 to 507 of the family's 1533-position model. The record is from RNAcentral.
GAUGAACGCUGGCUACAGGCUUAACACAUGCAAGUCGGGGGGAAACGACGGGGAAGCUUGCUUCCCCGGGCGUCGACCGGCGCACGGGUGAGUAACGCGUAUCCAACCUGCCUCUGACUGAGGGAUAACCCGUCGAAAGUCGGCCUAAUACCUCAUGGUAUCGUCUGCGGGCAUCCAACGACGAUUAAAGAUUUCAUCGGUCAGGGAUGGGGAUGCGUCUGAUUAGCUUGUUGGCGGGGUAACGGCCCACCAAGGCGACGAUCAGUAGGGGUUCUGAGGGGAAGGUCCCCCACAUUGGAACUGAGACACGGGCCAAACUGCUACGGGAGGCAGCAGUGAGGAAUAUUGGGCAAUGGGCGAGAGCCUGAACCAGCCAAGUAGCGUGCAGGAAGACGGCCCUAGGGGUUGUAAACUGCUUUUAGGCGGGGAUAAAGUGAGGGACGUGUCCCUCAUUGCAGGUACCGCAUGAAUAAGGACCGGCUAAUUCCGUG